UAUAGGUUACAUGAAAGAUUAGGCCUUUGAGUCCUUUGGGAAGAACGAUAUUGGGUUUACCAAUUAUAUUACUUGAUAACGAUCUGGUACACUUGUCAGGGGCUUAACACCUUCAUGUCAGACGAUGUAAAAAAAAGAAAAAACCUUACACGUAAAACGUAUAAAAAAACGUAAACCCUAAGCCCUACUAGCUAAACGGUGUAACAAAAAACAACUUUAAAUGCUACAUGCAAAAUGGUGUAAAAAAAACUAAACCCAUAAAUCCUAAAUACUAAACGCAAAACGGUGUAAAAAAAAGAAAAAACCAUAAACACAAAACGGUAUAAAAAACCUAAACCCUAAGCUCUACACGUAAAACGGUGUAAAAAAAACUAAACCCUAAACCCUACAUGCAAAACAGUGUAAAAAAAACCUUACACGUAAAAAUGUGAAAAAAAAAAAAACCUAAACCCAAAACAGUAAAACCUACACACAAAACGGUGUAAAAAAAGAAAAACCUUUACAUGCAAAACAGUGUAAAACAAAGAAAAACCUUAAACCCUUUAAACAAAACUAUGUAAAAAAAACUAAAGCCAAAACCCCAAAACCUACACGCAAAACAGUGUAAAAAAACUAAACCUUAAACCCUAUAAACUAAACAGUGUAAAAAAAACUUUACACAUAAAACGGUGUAAAAAAACUAAACCAAAAAGCCUAAACCCUACAUGAUAAAUGGUGUAAAAAAAGAAAAAACCUUCCAUGCAAAACGGUGUAAAAAAAAACUAAACCCUAAGACCUUCACAUGAAACGAUGUAAAAAAAACCUUACACAUAAAACGAUGUACAAAAAAACCUAAACCCUAAACCCUACACGCAAAAACGGUAUAAAAAAACGUUAACCC
Molecule: long non-coding RNA, 880 nt
Filed under: Vigna radiata
Lineage: Eukaryota; Viridiplantae; Streptophyta; Magnoliopsida; Fabales; Fabaceae
Description: long non-coding RNA (VRAD_LNC013801)
Source: RNAcentral